GAUGUCAUAAUGGAUGUUAAACAGGGAAUUUGAGAUAGAGAAAUAUUUGGCUCCCAUGAGUAACUGAAGGGAACUGUGCUGGAAAUCAGUAAUACGACAGAUUUCGCAUAGCCGAUUGGGGACUAUGGAAUUUAAGAUUGGUCCCAGGUCUGCAAACGUUAUUUCCAAAAUGGGUGCCAUCAUGAAGACAUCAUGGCUUCUGAUUUUGCCAUUUUCCUUUGAAAUGCUGAGAUGAUGGGAAGUGCUCAACAGUGUUAUCUUAGUCUUUGGGUUUGGUCUUAGUUCCUUCUGCAAAUUGUUCAAUGAAGACUACGAUUCAAGAUGCACAGAGUCCCACUGAAUUCAACUGAAUAAAGGGCUCUCCUACAGUUCACAGAUACAUAGUGAAAGGGCAAUUGGUACCUUUGGGACCUUAAUCAUUUAAUUGAUAAAAUGU
Ornithorhynchus anatinus (platypus) is the source of this 436-nucleotide long non-coding RNA. RefSeq lists it as uncharacterized. The record is from RefSeq and is a predicted model, not a curated record. Lineage: Eukaryota; Metazoa; Chordata; Mammalia; Monotremata; Ornithorhynchidae. The transcript is spliced from 3 exons.